This 462-nucleotide ribosomal RNA is filed under the name uncultured Allobrachymonas sp. RNAcentral describes it as "bacterial SSU rRNA". It matches the Rfam family "Bacterial small subunit ribosomal RNA", at positions 917 to 1381 of the family's 1533-position model. Lineage: Bacteria; Pseudomonadati; Pseudomonadota; Betaproteobacteria; Burkholderiales; Comamonadaceae. The record is from RNAcentral.
GACGGGACCGCACAAGCGGUGGAUGAUGUGGUUAAUUCGAUGCAACGCGAAAACCUUACCACCUUUGACAUGGCAGGAAUCCCGAAGAGAUUUGGGAGUGCUCGAAAGAGAACCUGCACACAGGUGCUGCAUGGCUGUCGUCAGCUCGUGUCGUGAGAUGUUGGGUUAAGUCCCGCAACGAGCGCAACCCUUGCCAUUAGUUGCUACGAAAGGGCACUCUAAUGGGACUGCCGGCGACAAACCGGAGGAAGGUGGGGAUGACGUCAAGUCCUCAUGGCCCUUAUGGGUAGGGCUUCACACGUCAUACAAUGGUCGGUACAGAGGGUUGCCAACCCGCGAGGGGGAGCUAAUCCCACAAAGCCGCUCUCAGUUCGGAUUGCAGGCUGCAACUCGCCUGCAUGAAGCCGGAAUCGCUAGUAAUCGCGGAUCAGCAUGCCGCGGUCGAAUACGUUCCCGGGCCUU